RNAcentral lists this ribosomal RNA (609 nucleotides) under uncultured bacterium. RNAcentral describes it as "bacterial SSU rRNA". It matches the Rfam family "Bacterial small subunit ribosomal RNA", at positions 329 to 929 of the family's 1533-position model. The record is from RNAcentral.
UUCCAGACUCCUACGGGAGGCAGCAGUAGGGAAUCUUCGGCAAUGGACGGAAGUCUGACCGAGCAACGCCGCGUGAGUGAAGAAGGUUUUCGGAUCGUAAAGCUCUGUUGUAAGAGAAGAACGAGUGUGAGAGUGGAAAGUUCACACUGUGACGGUAUCUUACCAGAAAGGGACGGCUAACUACGUGCCAGCAGCCGCGGUAAUACGUAGGUCCCGAGCGUUGUCCGGAUUUAUUGGGCGUAAAGCGAGCGCAGGCGGUUAGAUAAGUCUGAAGUUAAAGGCUGUGGCUUAACCAUAGUACGCUUUGGAAACUGUUUAACUUGAGUGCAAGAGGGGAGAGUGGAAUUCCAUAUGUAGCGGUGAAAUGCGUAGAUAUAUGGAGGAACACCGGUGGCGAAAGCGGCUCUCUGGCUUGUAACUGACGCUGAGGCUCGAAAGCGUGGGGAGCAAACAGGAUUAGAUACCCUGGUAGUCCACGCCGUAAACGAUGAGUGCUAGGUGUUAGACCCUUUCCGGGGUUUAGUGCCGUAGCUAACGCAUUAAGCACUCCGCCUGGGGAGUACGACCGCAAGGUUGAAACUCAAAGGAAUUGACGGGGGCCCGCACAAG